AGAGCGCACGGCGGAUGCCUAGGCGCCAGGAGCCGAAGAAGGACGGGGCCAGCACCGAAAUGCCACGGGGAGCCGCAAGCAGGCGUCGAUCCGUGGAUGUCCGAAUGGGGCAACCCGCUGUCCGUAAUGGGGCAGCAUCCUUACCUGAAUCCAUAGGGUAAGGAAGGCAACCGGGGGAACUGAAACAUCUAAGUACCCCGAGGAAAAGAAAUCAACCGAGAUUCCCUAAGUAGCGGCGAGCGAACGGGGAAGAGCCCAAACCCAUGCAGCGUGAUAGCCCGCAAGCGUUGCUGUAUGGGGGUUGUACGGCUUAAGGGGAGCUGUUGCGGCAGCUCACAGGUAUGCUUGCAAUCUAGCAGAAGGGUCUGGAAAGUCCCGCCAAAGAGAGUGACAGCCUCGUAUGCGAAAGGUUGCGGCAGCCUGCUUAAGUCCGUGAGUAGCACGGGACACGUGGAAUCCUGUGUGAAUCUGGGGGGACCACCCUCCAAGGCUAAAUACUCCCUGGCGACCGAUAGCGCAUAGUACCGUGAGGGAAAGGUGAAAAGCACCCCGGGAGGGGAGUGAAAUAGAACCUGAAACCGUGCGCUUACAAGCAGUCGGAGGACGUUAAAGUCUGACGGCGUACUUUUUGUAGAACGGACCGGCGAGUUAUGGUAGGCAGCGAGGUUAAGCAUGUAAGAUGCGGAGCCGCAGGGAAACCGAGUCUGAAGAGGGCGCUAAGUUGCCUGCUGUAGACCCGAAACCGGGUGAUCUACCCAUGGCCAGGGUGAAGUUGAGGUAAAGCUCAAUGGAGGCCCGAACCCACUAACGUUGAAAAGUUAGGGGAUGAGCUGUGGGUAGGGGUGAAAAGCCAAUCGAACCCGGAGAUAGCUGGUUCUCCUCGAAAUAGCUUUAGGGCUAGCCUCAGUGAAGAGACUAGCGGAGGUAGAGCACUGAUCGAGCUAGGGGCCCCGAAAGGUUACCGAACUCUUUCAAACUCCGAAUGCCGCUAGUUGUUAACUGGGAGUCAGACUGCGGGGGAUAAGCUCCGUAGUCGAGAGGGAAAGAGCCCAGACCGACAGCUAAGGUCCCUAAGUGCGGACUAAGUGGAAAAGGAUGUGCAACUGCACAGACAACCAGGAUGUUGGCUUAGAAGCAGCCAUUCAUUUAAAGAGUGCGUAAUAGCUCACUGGUCAAGUGGUUGUGCGCCGAAAAUGUAACGGGGCUGAAGUCCGCCACCGAAGCUUCGGAUAUGUCGAUUAGCUUGUCUAGUCGAUGUAUGGUAGAGGAGCGUUCCAACAGCACUGAAGGUAGACUGUGAAGACUGCUGGAGCGGUUGGAAGUGAGAAUGCCGGUAUGAGUAGCGAAAAGGAGGGUGAGAAUCCCUCCCGCCGAAAGCCUAAGGAUUCCUGAGGAAGGCUCGUCCGCUCAGGGUAAGUCGGGACCUAAGGCGAGGCCGAAAGGCGUAGUCGAUGGACAACAGGUUGAAAUUCCUGUACCACCGAGCAUCGCUUGAGCGAAGUGGUGACGCAGAAGGGUAGGUCAUCACCCGGAUGGAUGUGGGUGUCCAAGCGUGUAGAGGGCAAGGCAGGCAAAUCCGCCUUGCGAAACCUUGAGGCGUGAUGGGGAGGCGAAAUUUAGUAGCCGAACUGACUGAUCCCAUGCUGCCGAGAAAAGCCGCUAGCGAGAUGCAAGGUGCCCGUACCGCAAACCGACACAGGUAGGCGAGGAGAGAAUCCUAAGGCGCGCGAGAGAACCCCUGUUAAGGAACUCGGCAAAAUGACUCCGUAACUUCGGGAGAAGGAGUGCCUAAGUAGUGUGAAGUUGAACAGAUGGAGCACGAACAGGCCGCAGAGAAAUGGCCCAAGCGACUGUUUACCAAAAACACAGGUCUCUGCUAAGUGGAAACACGAAGUAUAGGGGCUGACGCCUGCCCAAUGCCGGAAGGUUAAGGGGAGAGGUUAGCGCAAGCGAAGCUUCGAACCGAAGCCCCGGUCAAUGGCGGCCGUAACUAUAACGGUCCUAAGGUAGCGAAAUUCCUUGUCGGGUAAGUUCCGACCUGCACGAAAGGCGUAACGACUUGGGCGCUGUCUCGACGGGGGGCUCGGCGAAAUUGUAGUACCUGUGAAGAUGCAGGUUACCCGCGACAAGACGGAAAGACCCCGUGGAGCUUUACUGCAGCUUGGUAUUGAAUUUUGGUAUGGAAUGUAUAGGAUAGGUGGGAGACUUAGAAGCCGGGACGCUAGUUUCGGUGGAGUCGUCGGUGGAAUACCACUCUUUUCAUGCUAGAAUUCUAACUGGCGGCCCUGAAUCGGGUCACAGGACAGUAUCAGGCGGGCAGUUUGACUGGGGCGGUCGCCUCCUAAAAGGUAACGGAGGCGCCCAAAGGUUCCCUCGGUGCGGAUGGAAAUCGCACGAGAGAGUGUAAAGGCAGAAGGGAGCUUGACUGCGAGACGGACAUGUCGAGCAGGUACGAAAGUAGGGCUUAGUGAUCCGGUGGUUCUGAGUGGAAGGGCCAUCGCUCAACGGAUAAAAGCUACCCCGGGGAUAACAGGCUUAUCUCCCCCAAGAGUUCACAUCGACGGGGAGGUUUGGCACCUCGAUGUCGGCUCGUCGCAUCCUGGAGCUGGAGAAGGUUCCAAGGGUUGGGCUGUUCGCCCAUUAAAGCGGUACGCGAGCUGGGUUCAGAACGUCGUGAGACAGUUCGGUCCCUAUCUGUCGCGGGCGUAGGAGAUUUGAGAGGAUCUGUCCCUAGUACGAGAGGACCGGGAUGGACGCACCGCUGGCUUACCAGUUGUCCCGCCAGGGGCACGGCUGGCACCCCAAGUGCGGAGUGGAUAAGCGCUGAAAGCAUCUAAGCGCGAAGCCCACCUCAAGAUGAGAUCUCCCACAGCGUUAAGCUGGU
Molecule: ribosomal RNA, 2884 nt
Filed under: bioreactor metagenome
Description: bacterial LSU rRNA
Rfam family: Bacterial large subunit ribosomal RNA
Source: RNAcentral